This 77-nucleotide transfer RNA is filed under the name Polyangiaceae bacterium. RNAcentral's name for it is "tRNA-Asn". It matches the Rfam family "tRNA". Rfam says of the family: Transfer RNA (tRNA) molecules are approximately 80 nucleotides in length. Their secondary structure includes four short double-helical elements and three loops (D, anti-codon, and T loops). Lineage: Bacteria; Pseudomonadati; Myxococcota; Polyangiales; Polyangiaceae. The record is from RNAcentral.
GGCCGGCUAGCUCAGCCCGGUAGAGCAGCUCCCUGUUAAGGAGACGGUCCCUGGUUCAAAUCCAAGGCCGGCCGCCA